This is a long non-coding RNA of Symphalangus syndactylus (siamang), 1016 nucleotides long. RefSeq lists it as uncharacterized. NCBI's taxonomy places the organism in Eukaryota, Metazoa, Chordata, Mammalia, Primates, Hylobatidae. The record is from RefSeq and is a predicted model, not a curated record.
GUCCGUUGCCCUCGCGGUGUCCAUUCCGUAACUGUUCUCACAAGACAAAACAGCCUGAGUUGUUUACAGCCAGCAACUCUUCCUGUCUAAGAGCGGUGUCUCCCGUUGGGUUUCCCUAGUGCCUCACCUUGGUCCAGAUGGCUGAAGGGGACCGUUUCCUGUGGCCUUUUCGCACUGUUCUAGGUGUUAACGAUCCCCCCGCCCCGCCCCUACUGACUUCCUCAUCCUAGCCUUUUAUUUCUUUUGUGCCUGGCCUCUAAUUUUACAAUACUAUGGGGAGAAAUGUCUCUGAAGUUUUACUUCAGCCUGAUAUGUAUAAGACAAGCCUUCAAGAGUUUCCAAAAUCAUAAAUACAUUGCUUUGUGAGUCUCUUGUUGGAAGGACUGUCUUUAAAUUAAAGCAAUUAGAGUUACUUUAUGAGAUUUACCCAAAUAUAAGAGCUGAAGAGAAUAAUUCAAAUUGAUCAGAAGAAAAUACUCAAUUACUGACAAAUGUCAAUUACAUCAAUAGCCUAGGCUGCUCUUGAACUCCUGGGCUCAAAGGAUCCUCCCCCGCUGGCCUCCCAAAGUGCUGGGAUUACAAGCAUGAACCACCAUGCCCAGCCUCAGAAGUUUUUUAAAUGAUAGCUCAUACAGUUUUCUUUUAUAAAGUAUAGACAACUUGACACAGGCAGAAGAAAAAUAUCUUCUCAAGAUGCAGCUUCACAAUCUUCAGAGUUACUGAUAACAUACAAACCAAACUACAGAUGAUUUCAGAACUCUCCAUCACUUUAAUAGAAGUGCCAACGAAAGUAUAUUUAUAUCAUAUCUCUAUCAAAAAUAUUUCUAAUUUAAUAGACGCUUUAAAUAAUGAUUGGUUUUGUAAUUCCCUUGAGGAGGAAGUAACCAGUAUAGAAACAAACAUAAAAAUAGGACAUUCACUUUGAUCAAACACCUACUGGAAAGUGGUCAAGAAUUAGAGAAAAUCGUAAUGAAACAAAUUUGCCAAUUUGACAUCAAUUGUGGUUAAGGUAGAGA